RNAcentral lists this ribosomal RNA (600 nucleotides) under uncultured bacterium. Its description in RNAcentral is "bacterial SSU rRNA". It matches the Rfam family "Bacterial small subunit ribosomal RNA", at positions 117 to 714 of the family's 1533-position model. The record is from RNAcentral.
GUAGGAAUCUGCCUGGUAGUGGGGGACAACUCGGAGAAAUUCGAGCUAAUACCGCAUACGCCCUAUGGGGGAAAGCGGGGGAUCUUCGGACCUCGCGCUAUCGGAUGAGCCUGCGUUGGAUUAGCUAGUUGGUGGGGUAAAGGCCUACCAAGGCGACGAUCCAUAGCUGGUCUGAGAGGACGAUCAGCCACACUGGGACUGAGACACGGCCCAGACUCCUACGGGAGGCAGCAGUGGGGAAUAUUGGACAAUGGGCGCAAGCCUGAUCCAGCAAUACCGCGUGUGUGAAGAAGGCCUGAGGGUUGUAAAGCACUUUCAAUAGGGAGGAAAAAGCGUUGGUUAAUACCCGAUGCCUUGACAUUACCUAUAGAAGAAGCACCGGCUAACUCCGUGCCAGCAGCCGCGGUAAUACGGAGGGUGCGAGCGUUAAUCGGAAUUACUGGGCGUAAAGCGUGCGUAGGCGGCUGUUUAAGUCAGAUGUGAAAGCCCCGGGCUUAACCUGGGAACUGCAUUUGAUACUGGACAGCUCGAGUUUAGGAGAGGAGAGUGGAAUUUCCGGUGUAGCGGUGAAAUGCGUAGAGAUCGGAAGGAACACCAGUG